Molecule: ribosomal RNA, 253 nt
Filed under: uncultured bacterium
Lineage: Bacteria
Description: partial 16S ribosomal RNA
Rfam family: Bacterial small subunit ribosomal RNA
Source: RNAcentral
UACAGAGGUCUCAAGCGUUGUUCGGAAUCACUGGGCGUAAAGGGUGUGUAGGCUGUGUGCUAAGUCAGAUGUGAAAGCCCGGGGCUCAACCUCGGAACUGCAUCCGAUACUGGCAUGCUAGAGAAUUGGAGAGGAGUCUAGAAUUCACGGUGUAGCAGUGAAAUGCGUAGAUAUCGUGAGGAAUACCAAGUGCGAAGGCAGGACUCUGGACAUUUUCUGACGCUGAGACACGAAGGCCAGGGGAGCAAACGGG